AAGUCGUAACAAGGUUUCCGUAGGUGAACCUGCGGAAGGAUCAUUAAUGAAAUAAUAAUUUUUUGGGGUUUUCCCUGAAAAAUAAUUCACCUUUUGUGCACUGUUAAAAGAUAUACUUUGGUUAGAGCUUUGAUUUCAUUUUUUGAAAUCAACUUCUUGCUGACUCUAUCCUUUCUGAGGACAGUUGGCUAUGAAGCGGCCUACCAAGGUUUUUUAUCAAACACAUUUAAUUUAUCUGACCUAAACUACUAUAAUAAAAUCAUAACUUUCAACAACGGAUCUCUUGGCUCUC
Molecule: unclassified non-coding RNA, 292 nt
Filed under: fungal sp.
Lineage: Eukaryota; Fungi
Description: partial internal transcribed spacer region
Rfam family: Eukaryotic small subunit ribosomal RNA (bases 1-46)
Source: RNAcentral